AUAUUGCGCAAUGGGCGAAAGCCUGACGCAGCGACGCCGCGUGGGUGAGGAAGGCCUUCGGGUUGUAAAGCCCUUUUGCUGGGGACGAGGAUGGACGGUACCAGCGGAAUAAGCACCGGCUAACUCUGUGCCAGCAGCCGCGGUAAUACAGAGGGUGCUAGCGUUAAUCGGAUUUACUGGGCGUAAAGCGUGUGUAGGCGGUUCGUUAAGUCGGAUGUGAAAGCCCUGGGCUCAACCUAGGAAUUGCAUUCGAUACUGGCGAGCUAGAGUACGGUAGAGGGCGGCGGAAUUCCGGGUGUAGCGGUGAAAUGCGUAGAUAUCCGGAGGAACACCGAUGGCGAAGGCAACCGCCUGGGCCUGUACUGACGCUGAGACACGAAAGCGUGGGGAGCAAACAGG
Molecule: ribosomal RNA, 399 nt
Filed under: uncultured bacterium
Lineage: Bacteria
Description: bacterial SSU rRNA
Rfam family: Bacterial small subunit ribosomal RNA
Source: RNAcentral